Molecule: ribosomal RNA, 585 nt
Filed under: uncultured bacterium
Lineage: Bacteria
Description: bacterial SSU rRNA
Rfam family: Bacterial small subunit ribosomal RNA
Source: RNAcentral
CCUACGGGAGGCAGCAGUGGGGAAUUUUGGACAAUGGGCGAAAGCCUGAUCCAGCCAUACCGCGUGCGGGAAGAAGGCCUUCGGGUUGUAAACCGCUUUUGUCAGGGAAGAAAUACUUCGGGCUAAUACCCUGGGGUGAUGACGGUACCUGAAGAAUAAGCACCGGCUAACUACGUGCCAGCAGCCGCGGUAAUACGUAGGGUGCAAGCGUUAAUCGGAAUUACUGGGCGUAAAGCGUGCGCAGGCGGUUCUAUAAGACAGAUGUGAAAUCCCCGGGCUCAACCUGGGAACUGCAUUUGUGACUGUAGAGCUAGAGUACGGUAGAGGGGGAUGGAAUUCCGCGUGUAGCAGUGAAAUGCGUAGAUAUGCGGAGGAACACCGAUGGCGAAGGCAAUCCCCUGGACCUGUACUGACGCUCAUGCACGAAAGCGUGGGGAGCAAACAGGAUUAGAUACCCUGGUAGUCCACGCCCUAAACGAUGUCAACUGGUUGUUGGGAGGGUUUCUUCUCAGUAACGAAGCUAACGCGUGAAGUUGACCGCCUGGGGAGUACGGCCGCAGGUUGAAACUCGAAAGGAAUUGACGG